GAUGAACGCUAGCUACAGGCUUAACACAUGCAAGUCGAGGGGUAACAAGAGAAAAGCUUGCUUUUCUUGUUGACGACCGGCGCACGGGUGAGUAACGCGUAUCCAACCUGCCCAUAACUAGGGAAUAACCUUGCGAAAGUAAGACUAAUACCCUAUAAUUUCCUUUGACGGCAUCUGACGAGGAAUAAAGAUUUAUCGGUUAUGGAUGGGGAUGCGUCUGAUUAGCUUGUUGGCGGGGUAACGGCCCACCAAGGCAACGAUCAGUAGGGGUUCUGAGAGGAAGGUCCCACACAUUGGAACUGAGACACGGUCCAAACUCCUACGGGAGGCAGCAGUGAGGAAUAUUGGUCAAUGGGCGGAAGCCUGAACCAGCCAAGUAGCGUGCAGGAUGACGGCCCUAUGGGUUGUAAACUGCUUUUAUACAGGAAUAAAGUUAGCCACGUGUGGUUAUUUGUAGGUACUGUAUGAAUAAGGACCGGCUAAUUCCGUGCCAGCCGCCGCCGUAA
This 506-nucleotide ribosomal RNA is filed under the name uncultured bacterium. RNAcentral's name for it is "partial 16S ribosomal RNA". It matches the Rfam family "Bacterial small subunit ribosomal RNA", at positions 28 to 523 of the family's 1533-position model. The record is from RNAcentral.